GGCAAGGACUGGAGAGAACUGAGCAGAAGACACCUGGACAUAUUUUAGACUUUGGAGAUCUGGCAGCUGCUGCUAUGACUUUCUCACACUUGUCUAGAGACUGUUCAUUCAUGACCUGCAGUAAUGGAAACCUGACUAACACAACCAGAGAUCAAAAAGUGACUGAUGAAGAUCCCUGGACCACACCCCACCUCCGGGUUUGACAACAAGGAGCCUCAAAGUCAGACAUCAUAGCAGCAAUCUACAAGGUGCCCAUGUGCUGGCAUUUGGAAAUGCCUACUCCUAAAAGACAAAACUACUUUGGUCAUGACCUCAGAACUUCCUGCAUCAUGGGUCUGCCCUGAAUCAGCUGACAGCUUAUCUCUGCAGUGACAAAAGGGCUCUAAAGAUUAAAAUCAGCGGAUUUUUUUUGUGUGUGUGUGCCCGUGGACUUUUGACUUUUUUCUUUACUUUGAAUUCUUCCUGCUUUUUGAAAAGAAUAACCCAUCUCCGAUGGGGAAAUGAAAAUAAAAAGGUGUUCCAACUUCA
Molecule: long non-coding RNA, 528 nt
Organism: Marmota flaviventris (yellow-bellied marmot)
Lineage: Eukaryota; Metazoa; Chordata; Mammalia; Rodentia; Sciuridae
Source: RefSeq, a predicted model, not a curated record